CCUACGGGAGGCAGCAGUGAGGAAUAUUGGUCAAUGGGCGGAAGCCUGAACCAGCGAAGUAGCGUGCAGGAUGACGGCCCUACGGGUUGUAAACUGCGUUUAUACGGGAAUAACGCGCCUUACGUGUAGGGCUUUGCAUGUACCGAAUGAAUAAGGACCGGCUAAUUCCGUGCCAGCAGCCGCGGUAAUACGGAGGGUCCGGGAGUUAUCCGGAUUGAUUGGGUUUAAAGGGAGCGUAGGCCGCAUGUCAAGCGUGCUGUGAAAUGUUCGGGCUCAACCCGGGCCUUGCAGCGCGAACUGGCGUGCUUGAGUCCGCGGAAAGCAGGCGGAAUUCGUCGUGUAGCGGUGAAAUGCUGAGAUAUGACGAAGAACCCCGAUUGCGAAGGCAGCUUGCUGCAGCGGAACUGACGCUGAUGCUCGAAAGCGCGGGUAUCGAACAGGAUUAGAUACCACUGUAGUC
This 460-nucleotide ribosomal RNA is filed under the name uncultured bacterium. Its description in RNAcentral is "partial 16S ribosomal RNA". It matches the Rfam family "Bacterial small subunit ribosomal RNA", at positions 338 to 795 of the family's 1533-position model. The record is from RNAcentral.